This 219-nucleotide long non-coding RNA is filed under the name Vigna radiata. RNAcentral's name for it is "long non-coding RNA (VRAD_LNC012450)". Lineage: Eukaryota; Viridiplantae; Streptophyta; Magnoliopsida; Fabales; Fabaceae. The record is from RNAcentral.
AAUUAGCCAAAACUAUCAAAAACAAACUUGAAAAACGCUAAUGACAACAUCCUGGCAGCUUUGACCUUUGCUGAGUGUUUUACUUAUAACUUUCUGCACAGAAAUCCAAAUGAAGUGAUUCUUUUUUUGGACAAUUGAGCUAGAUGCAGUUUAAGUUUCAAAAUCGUCACAGUUUGCUGCCAGAACAAAUGAUAGAUGGAAAACAAAACACAAGACAAG